GAUGAACGCUGGCGGCGUGCCUAAUACAUGCAAGUCGAGCGAACGGACGAGAAGCUUGCUUCUCUGAUGUUAGCGGCGGACGGGUGAGUAACACGUGGAUAACCUACCUAUAAGACUGGGAUAACUUCGGGAAACCGGAGCUAAUACCGGAUGAUAUUUUGAACCGCAUGGUUCAAAAUUGAAAGACGGUCUUCCUGUCCCUUAAAGUUGGAUCCGCCCUGCAUUAGCUAGUUGGUAAGGUAACGGCUUACCAAGGCAACGAUGCAUAGCCGACCUGAGAGGGUGAUCGGCCACACUGGAACUGAGACACGGUCCAGACUCCUACGGGAGGCAGCAGUAGGGAAUCUUCCGCAAUGGGCGAAAGCCUGACGGAGCAACGCCGCGUGAGUGAUGAAGGUCUUCGGAUCGUAAAACUCUGUUAUUAGGGAAGAACAUAUGUGUAAGUAACUGUGCACAUCUUGACGGUACCUAAUCAGAAAGCCACGGCUAACUACGUG
This 497-nucleotide ribosomal RNA is filed under the name uncultured bacterium. RNAcentral's name for it is "partial 16S ribosomal RNA". It matches the Rfam family "Bacterial small subunit ribosomal RNA", at positions 28 to 507 of the family's 1533-position model. The record is from RNAcentral.